This 440-nucleotide ribosomal RNA is filed under the name uncultured bacterium. Its description in RNAcentral is "partial 16S ribosomal RNA". It matches the Rfam family "Bacterial small subunit ribosomal RNA", at positions 338 to 795 of the family's 1533-position model. The record is from RNAcentral.
CCUACGGGAGGCAGCAGUGGGGAAUAUUGCACAAUGGGGGAAACCCUGAAGCAGCGACGCCGCGUGAGUGAUGAAGGAUUUCGGAUUGUAAACUCCUUUUAGUAGGGAAGAUAAUGACGGUAUCUGACGAAGAAGCACCGGCUAACUACGUGCCAGCAGCCGCGGUAAUACGUAGGGUGCAAGCGUUAUUCGGAUUCACUGGGCGUAAAGAGCGCGUAGGCGGGGCAGCAAGUCAGAUGUGAAAUCCUAUGGCUUAACCAUAGAACUGCAUUGGAAACUGUUGUUCUUGAGUACGGGAGGGGUAGGUGGAAUUCCUAGUGUAGGGGUAAAAUGCGUAGAGAUUAAGAGGAAUACUGACUGCGAAGGCGACCUGCUAGAACAUAACUGACGUUGAGGCGCGAAAGCGUGGGGAGCAAACAGGAUUAGAUACCCGAGUAGUC